CUUGGAGUAGCUUACUGGACGCACGAACAACAAGGAGUUAUUUGGACAUAAAUUAUGGACUUUAUCGAACAAAACACAAUUUGUUGUGGACCUGGGAUUCCUGGAAGUGCCUUCUGAUGAAGAUGAUCAAAGAUUCACCCAAAAUGCAUGCCCAUUGACGACAUGUGGACAACGUACACAAUGGCCGUUAAUACGAUUCCAAUGGAGUUUCCCAUCUCCUCAAAAUUAUUUCUGUAAAUGAAGGCUAUUCCAUGCGAGAAAUUGCCAAGAAACUGAAGAUCUCAUACUACGCUGUGUACUACUCCCUUCAGAGAACAGCACAAACUGGCUCUAACCAGAAUAGAAAGAGGAGUGGGAGGACCCGGUUUACAACUGAGCAAGAGGACAAGGACAUUAGAGUGUCUAGUUUGAGAAACAGACGCCUCACAGUCCUCAACUCGCAAAACACGAGUCUCAACAUUAACAGUGAACAGGUGAGAUGCUGACCUUCUAUGCAGAAUUUAAAAAAAAGCCAUAUCUCAGACUGGCCAAUAAAAAGAAAAGAUUAAGACGGCAAAAGAACACAGACACUGGACAGAUGAACUCUCGUACAACUAGAGGUCUCUUUACAGUCCCCAGCUACAGAACAGUGGAUGGGAAACGCACAGUAUUAAAUGGAGCUACGACUACUCUCUGCCACCCCAGUUUUCUUGAAAGCACCAUAAAUCCAGAGAAUGACAGAAUUAAUUGAUGGCAAAAUGUGAUGACAAACUUUGUCCACGAAGGACUGCCACGCCACCUUCCUGUUCAAGAGAGCACAGCACAACAAGGCAGAAUACAGUAAGAAUGGCCCAUGUUCUGAAUUCUGCAAUGGCCAUCCUAGUCCCCUGACCUAAACCCCAUUGUAAACCUGUGGGGUGAGCUGACGAGGAGAGUCCAUAAGCGAGGACCAUGGACUCUAAAGGAUCUGGAGAGUUUCUGUACGGAGGAAUGUUCUCAAAUCCCUUACUACGUGUUCUCCCACCUCAUUAAACAUUAUAGGAGAUGACUCAGAGCUGUUAUCUUAGCCAAGGGAGAGUGCCCAAAGUACUAAAUUCAGGGAUUCCAAUAAUUUUAACUCAAUUAAGGGUUAGAUUCGUAUGAUAUUUUGAGUGUAAGAUCAAGCUGAUAAACAGCAAUGACAUUUAGUUCAGACUUUUUUGUUCAUAAUUUACCUAGGGUGCCAAUAAUUCAGGAGGGCGCUGUAACUCUUUCAUACUAGUCAUACGCACACAUGAAGGGUCUACAGUAUGUAUGAAUUCUAUGCAGCCAAUGUAAAGUAAUUUGUAUUUUCCCAUUCAUAAUAGCUAAGCACUUCUUGGUAAUCAACUGUAAACUUUGCCGCUGAUCGAUAACACCAACAUUAAAGGUAUAUGCAUGAAUUGUAUGCAGUCAAUGUAAAGUAAAUUCUAUAGUAUUUUCCCCAUCAUAAAACAUUUAUAAAGCAUAUAUAAAGAUGCCUCACUUAUCAAAAGUCAAUAAUACGGACACAACACAGAAUGUUAAAGGAAAUAUUAACAUUUUAUUGAAAUUGUUCAGAUAUAGCUAGCACAGAAAACAAUUGCUGAGGACUUGGCCGAAGAAAACUAAAUGUUUGACUUUUCAUGAAUGGAUUUAAAAAGAUUCAUAUUCAAACCAUUCAAAUUCAAUUCCCCACUAUUUUAGUGAGUAAAACAAACCAACACUAGGUGGUAAAGCUAGCUAGCAUUCCCUCAUUAUGCACUAUAAAUAUAAGCUAGUAGCUAGCUAAGCCCUUGUAACAAUCGUCAACACGUUCGACUCAGUCAAUAAACGUUACAAAAUCGUCUUAGCUUUUUGUGAAAGCGAGAGAUCACCAGGAUCUUUUGCACUAUUUUAAGACUCGCAUUGUAGUUUUGCACAUUGCCAACCUUUAACAACAGGACAAACAACAGAAAAAAAAUGUCAUGACGUUCUUUCCAUUUUGGCUGCACAGGAGGAGAGUGUGAGAG
RNAcentral lists this long non-coding RNA (1988 nucleotides) under Salmo salar (Atlantic salmon). RNAcentral describes it as "lncRNA (ENSSSAG00000089134.1)". Lineage: Eukaryota; Metazoa; Chordata; Actinopteri; Salmoniformes; Salmonidae. The record is from RNAcentral.